This 497-nucleotide ribosomal RNA is filed under the name uncultured bacterium. Its description in RNAcentral is "partial 16S ribosomal RNA". It matches the Rfam family "Bacterial small subunit ribosomal RNA", at positions 28 to 507 of the family's 1533-position model. The record is from RNAcentral.
GAUGAACGCUGGCGGCGUGCCUAAUACAUGCAAGUCGAGCGAACAGAUAAGGAGCUUGCUCCUUUGACGUUAGCGGCGGACGGGUGAGUAACACGUGGGUAACCUACCUAUAAGACUGGAAUAACUCCGGGAAACCGGGGCUAAUGCCGGAUAACAUGUUGAACCGCAUGGUUCUACAGUGAAAGGCGGCUUUGCUGUCACUUAUAGAUGGACCCGCGCCGUAUUAGCUAGUUGGUGAGGUAACGGCUCACCAAGGCAACGAUACGUAGCCGACCUGAGAGGGUGAUCGGCCCCACUGGAACUGAGACACGGUCCAGACUCCUACGGGAGGCAGCAGUAGGGAAUCUUCCGCAAUGGGCGAAAGCCUGACGGAGCAACGCCGCGUGAGUGAUGAAGGUCUUCGGAUCGUAAAACUCUGUUAUUAGGGAAGAACAAAUGCGUAAGUAACUGUGCGCGUCUUGACGGUACCUAAUCAGAAAGCCACGGCUAACUACGUG